CCUUUUAUAACGUCAGUAGUUCAACUGCGUCACUUUCUGGCACGUGCCAAAAGUUUGUUUAGCUGCUGAUUGUGUAUACCGGUAAAUUUAAAGUUUCAAUUUAUUAAUAUUUGAAACCAUGGGGGAUGUUACUAAAUCCUUUCUUUACGCGUGGUGUGGGAAGAAUAAAGUCACCCCUACAUAUGAAGUUAGAGGAAGUAAACAACGACAAAGAUUUUUAUGUGAAGUAAGAGUUCCGGGAUUUGAUUAUGUUGGUAUAGGAGACUCUACAAACAACACAGAUGCACAGACGAAUGCUGCUCGAGAUUUUUUAUUAUAUCUACUAAGAGCUGGGAAAAUAUCGCAGUCGGAAGUGCCUGUUGAAUUUCCUGUUGGACUUCAGAAUCCAGGACCUUCAGGAUUACCAUCUGGUGAACCACAAGCACAUUACAUCCAAUUAUACAGCGAGGAAAAACAUGAUCCAAGGACCAAAGCACCUGGGCAUAAAAUGGAAAUAAAGUUUCCUAACGAAGGUAUCGGAUAUGAAUAUGACCCAGCAGAUUUUAAUAGUCACAGUGUGACUAAUAUGAGCAAAGAGUACAACAGAACAACAACAAUGGGGAAGGCUGUUCGGUUCCAAGAUAAAACUGGAGUUCAGUCUCCGGGUCCUGCUGCCUAUACUCGGGAGGAAGGAGAUAGUUCUAUUUAUCAUAGAGCACCAUCCUAUUCAAUGUCACAUACGGAACGAAGUGAAACGAGACCUUCUGGCACUCCAGCUUGUAAUUCCUACUCUCUUCCAACUUCGUUUGGACCUGGAAAUACAAAUGAUGUUAAUGGUCCUUCGUACUCAAUGGGAAAAGCAAAUAAGGAAGAGUUGACUUUGAAAUCACAGAGUCCUGGCCCUGCUGCCUACCAGCUGCCUUCUAGCAAUGUUAACAUGAAUAGAGCUCCUGCAUUUUAUAUGGGAAGAACACUUCCCCCUAAAAAUGUUACUUCCUCGCCGGGUCCAGAUGCUCAUGCCGCACACAUGGUAAAAUAUGAUGAGCACAAUACUCCAGGAGUCGCUCAUGGUAUAUGGCAUACGCCAUAUAAAGCUCCUCCAGGAUUUGCUGCUGAGUAUUAACUUGGCUUCGAACAAUCUCAUAAGGUGAAAUCGACUCGGCCUACUUGAUGCCGAAUCAGAAGAGAUCACUAGAGAUAUUCCAUAUAUUCGCAGUUACAGGACCAAUGUGUUUACGUGUUACACACUACGCGUGUUAAUUAACAUCUAGCGUUGUAGAGCUAGAUGUAUGUAUUAGAUGUAGAGAUUGUCUUUUAAAAACUGGUCAACCCCACUUUGAAUUUCGACAAGUAAAAAUAUACUAAGACUUUCAUUUUACGAGAAAGAUCCAGUCAUGAGAAGAUUUAGAAAACCUACCAUAAACUGAUGAAGAAAGAAGAAAAGAAGAUGAUGAUUUGAAAUUUUCAACAAUAGUUUUAUUUGCAAUGGGCAAUAAUUAAACACAUUUUCUUAGUAUUUUUUGAAAGAAAC
RNA transcript from Argiope bruennichi, 1510 nucleotides. It is a transcript of the gene named outer dense fiber protein 3-like, with no coding region annotated. The transcript has 10 exons. Lineage: Eukaryota; Metazoa; Arthropoda; Arachnida; Araneae; Araneidae. The record is from RefSeq and is a predicted model, not a curated record.